GUCAAUGUCAAUAUUUAAGAUUGUAACAAAGUGUUAAAAUGCGCAUGCAUGAAUACACUCCAGAUGAUUUACAAAAUAUCAUCAAUAAAUAUUCAACCUAUAUAACAAUCACUGAUCUAAUAGCAGUAGCUUGAAUUAAAGUGUUAUUAAAUCGCACAAUCGCACAAUCGACAUCAACAAAGCUACAACGUCUGUAGUAAAACAGACCUACACAACACUAUUAAAACCGGAACCAGCGUUCCUACCUGAGACGAUCUCCUCUCCCUCAUUUUGGCCACUAGAUGGCCUUCAUUAGCCCUUGUCGGCUGUCAAGGCCCCUCUCCCCAUCAAUGGAUUUUUAGCCUGACAUUGUUUUUCUUCAAUAUAAUAUACCAUUUACAACCUCAUGCAAGCGGACAUUUUUCUCAACUUCACCAGGUUAUCUCCACAUAGCUAUUUACGUUCUCCUGCAAGUGAACAUUUAUUUUCGACUUCACCAGGCUCAUAUAAUUGUUGCGUUCUCUUAUUGUUAUUGACCUUUGACCUUAAUUUCUAAAAUUUCAUUUUUCUUACAGAAUAUGUUUUAUUUAUCAAUAUUAAAGUGAGCAGGCGACGAAAACACUGCCAAAGGUUAUUGCCAGUCGCCGCGAAAAAAAGGGAAGGGAGACAAUUGUAAUGUGAUCGUUGCACCAAUGGAAACAAGAUACCCACAUAAAUGAACCUAGAACCGGGAAUGCCAAAAUAAUCAGUCGCGCAGCAGGUAUGUGAGGUAUUAAAUCGCUUGAAUCUACCUUACCCUACCUAAAGAGCUCUCUAGGGGCGGUAAGGGGCGAUAGAAAGGGUAUUUGAAGGUAUGUGUUGUUCGUGCAAAUGCAAAAUUUUAAACUUUUAUAUUUACUAGGUGCAAGAACAUUUGGGUCGGUCACUCGCUGUUCGCCCUUUAGAAAGUUUUCUUGAGUGAAACUAGGCGUAAGUACACAUAUAUAUUUAUCCAAAAGAACUAAA
This is a long non-coding RNA of Drosophila montana, 984 nucleotides long. RefSeq lists it as uncharacterized. Lineage: Eukaryota; Metazoa; Arthropoda; Insecta; Diptera; Drosophilidae. The record is from RefSeq and is a predicted model, not a curated record. The transcript has 3 exons.